RNAcentral lists this ribosomal RNA (497 nucleotides) under uncultured bacterium. RNAcentral describes it as "partial 16S ribosomal RNA". It matches the Rfam family "Bacterial small subunit ribosomal RNA", at positions 28 to 507 of the family's 1533-position model. The record is from RNAcentral.
GAUGAACGCUGGCGGCGUGCCUAAUACAUGCCAGUCGAGCGAACAGACGAGGAGCUUGCUCCUCUGACGUUAGCGGCGGACGGGUGAGUAACACGUGGAUAACCUACCUAUAAGACUGGGAUAACUUCGGGAAACCUGAGCUAAUACCGGAUAAUAUAUUGAACCGCAUGGUUCAAUAGUGAAAGACGGUUUUGCUGUCACUUAUAGAUGGAUCCGCGCCGCAUUAGCUAGUUGGUAAGGUAACGGCUUACCAAGGCAACGAUGCGUAGCCGACCUGAGAGGGUGAGCGGCCACAAUGGAACUGAGACACGGUCCAGAAUCCUACGGGAGGCAGCAGUAGGGAAUAUUCCGCAAUGGGCGAAAGCCUGACGGAGCAACGCCGCGUGAGUGAUGAAGGUCUUCGGAUCGUAAAACUCUGUUAUUAGGGAAGAACAAAUGUGUAAGUAACUAUGCAAGUCGUGACGGUACCUAAUCAGAAAGCCACGGCUAACUACGUG